This is a long non-coding RNA of Bufo gargarizans (Asiatic toad), 150 nucleotides long. RefSeq lists it as uncharacterized. The record is from RefSeq and is a predicted model, not a curated record. Lineage: Eukaryota; Metazoa; Chordata; Amphibia; Anura; Bufonidae. The transcript is spliced from 3 exons.
AUACCUGUACAAUAUAAAGUCCUCAGUUCUACAAACAUUAUAAUUCUAGCAACUAUCGGAACAAUCUUCUCCCUGCUACUGCUUGCAUUGGUUGCAUUGGCUACCUAUUUUUGUUGGAGAAAAAAAUGCCAGAAAUUAACAAGCAAUGAG